GUAAGCACAAGGCAGCACUGUGCGUCCUGUGCUGUGGCUGUCUGUACUCUCUGUACUCUCAUUACACUCUAUCCCAUUCCUGAGAGCUAGCUUCAGGGUGAAGAAGGCCCUGCUCUAACAAGCUUGCAAUCUGUGAGCAUGGCUAUAUUAGUUUAAGUGCCAUUUUAAAGCAUUAUUUUAAAGUAUAUGUUUAUGUGUAUGGACUUUUAUGUGUAAGGACUUGCCAUAUAAAAC
Non-coding RNA from Pelobates cultripes (western spadefoot toad), 234 nucleotides. The record is from the annotation of a GenBank genome assembly. Lineage: Eukaryota; Metazoa; Chordata; Amphibia; Anura; Pelobatidae.